RNAcentral lists this long non-coding RNA (387 nucleotides) under Elaeis guineensis (African oil palm). RNAcentral describes it as "long non-coding RNA (EGUI_LNC052961)". Lineage: Eukaryota; Viridiplantae; Streptophyta; Magnoliopsida; Arecales; Arecaceae. The record is from RNAcentral.
AAGAGUAUUAGAAAUGAUGUCUCCACACAAGAAUAAGACGCCAAAAUAUGUGCAAUUGCGUGUCUUUGGCUACCAGUGCUUUCCCGUGAGUCUGAGAUUAUGCCAAGUCAAAGUAUGAUCCUCACUCAAUUGCGUGUUUCUGGGAUGAUACAAGGGAUACCUGUGCUACUAUCCUACCAAGGGCGUGUCAUUUUUGAUGUCACAAUGUUCCCAUUUAGAUUUUCAGGAGAGCUAAUUUCUAUUUAUUAAACUCACAUUGACUUGUGUACUCUUGGUGAGCAUUUGUUUCAAGAAAUUGAUCAAAGUUCAGUGCCUUACGCCAUCUCACCUUACAAACUAAUAUAGAUUGACCUACUUACUAAAGGGUUAAUCCUAGCUCUUUAUGUC